ACCUAGCUGGUUCAGUUGGUGGAGCACGUGGCUCUUGAUCUUGGGGUUGUGGGUUUGAGCCCCACACUGGGUG
RNAcentral lists this transfer RNA (73 nucleotides) under Felis catus (domestic cat). It matches the Rfam family "tRNA". Rfam says of the family: Transfer RNA (tRNA) molecules are approximately 80 nucleotides in length. Their secondary structure includes four short double-helical elements and three loops (D, anti-codon, and T loops). Further hydrogen bonds mediate the characteristic L-shaped molecular structure. tRNAs have two regions of fundamental functional importance: the anti-codon, which is responsible for specific mRNA codon recognition, and the 3' end, to which the tRNAs corresponding amino acid is attached (by aminoacyl-tRNA synthetases). tRNAs cope with the degeneracy of the genetic code in two manners: having more than one tRNA (with a specific anti-codon) for a particular amino acid; and 'wobble' base-pairing, i.e. permitting non-standard base-pairing at the 3rd anti-codon position. Lineage: Eukaryota; Metazoa; Chordata; Mammalia; Carnivora; Felidae. RNAcentral also lists the same sequence under 1 other name. The record is from Rfam by way of RNAcentral.